GGGUUGUGAGGUUAAGCGACUAAGCGUACACGGUGGAUGCCCUGGCAGUCAGAGGCGAUGAAGGGCGUGCUAAUCUGCGAUAAGCGCCGGUAAGGUGAUAUGAACCGUUAUAACCGGCGAUACCCGAAUGGGGAAACCCAGUGUGACUCGUCACACUAUCAUUAACUGAAUC
This 172-nucleotide ribosomal RNA is filed under the name Salmonella enterica subsp. enterica serovar Enteritidis. RNAcentral's name for it is "partial 23S ribosomal RNA". It matches the Rfam family "Bacterial large subunit ribosomal RNA", at positions 1 to 164 of the family's 2925-position model. The record is from RNAcentral. RNAcentral also lists the same sequence under 1 other name. Lineage: Bacteria; Pseudomonadati; Pseudomonadota; Gammaproteobacteria; Enterobacterales; Enterobacteriaceae.